GGACCCUACGGGGCGCAGCAGUGGGGAAUAUUGCACAAUGGGGGAAACCCUGAUGCAGCAACGCCGCGUGAGUGAAGAAGUAUUUCGGUAUGUAAAGCUCUAUCAGCAGGGAAGAAAAUGACGGUACCUGAGUAAGAAGCCCCGGCUAACUACGUGCCAGCAGCCGCGGUAAUACGUAGGGGGCAAGCGUUAUCCGGAUUUACUGGGUUUAAAGGGUGCGCAGGCGGCACGGCAAGCCGGCGGUCAAAUCGCGGGGCUCAACCCCGCCCAGCCGUCGGAACUGCCGGGCUAGAGUGGGCGAGAAG
RNAcentral lists this ribosomal RNA (305 nucleotides) under uncultured bacterium. RNAcentral's name for it is "bacterial SSU rRNA". It matches the Rfam family "Bacterial small subunit ribosomal RNA", at positions 334 to 657 of the family's 1533-position model. The record is from RNAcentral.